Chroicocephalus ridibundus (black-headed gull) is the source of this 5282-nucleotide long non-coding RNA. RefSeq lists it as uncharacterized. The transcript is spliced from 6 exons. The record is from RefSeq and is a predicted model, not a curated record. Lineage: Eukaryota; Metazoa; Chordata; Aves; Charadriiformes; Laridae.
UUUAUUUAAUAACAUUAUCUUUAAGGUCCCUUCCAACCCAAACCAUUCUGUGAUUCUAUAAUAAAAAUUUCCAAAUACAAAACUAAAAUAGAAUGCUAAUUGGGAACAAUUAAUUAUAACAAUACCUUAUUGUAAUUGUGGGAGCUGCAAUACUCCUAAUUUGAUUUCUAAUUCAUAAUAGAACAUCACAAUUAAGGAGAGUAAUUAAUCUUUUCUUCUGUCUCAGCCUCUGCUUUUGGCAGUCUGUCUCCUUUUCCUUUUUCCUGCAGCUGCAGAGAGCCGUGAUCCUCCCUGGGCGCUAGUCAUUCACUCACUGAAUUUGGUAAUAGCAAAUAAUUUAACGAGAGCGUUAAAGAAAUAUAUUAUUACCCAAUAAAGUAACUCGAUUAAAUACACCGAAGGACACACGCGCACCCCCACGCAACACCCACCGAGCCCGGCACUGGCACCGGGCCCGCAGGGAAACGACCCGGAGGCAGAACCAGACGCAGCGAGAGGGACCCACCCGCGGCAGCAGCGGCCGCUACCGCCGGUACCCGCAGCGGGAGGCCCUGGGCCACGGAGAAACGCCCUGGCGGAGGCUAGGCCGGCGCCGAGCCUAGAGAACUGCGGCUGGAGGGUAAACCGGCACUGCCGGGGCUCCGCCACCCGGAGCGGCUUCUCGGCGACGGAUGGAUAUUCCCAGCCGGCCCGCAGCGAGAGCCGCCGCCACCCGGUACCGAGAGCGGCCAUCAGCACUCCGGGAGCGGCUCUCACCACGCUCCAGAGACGCCCGGAAGUGCCCGUCAGUCCUCCAAAACGUGCACUCUAUGGUCCGGCCGUCCUCCAGCUACUGGAAGUGCCUGUCAGUCCUCCGGAGAGAGCGCUCUAUGGGCCGGCAGUCCUCCAAAACUACAGAAAAAGGUCGAAACCUGCAACUACAAGAAAAAAUAAUAAAAAAUAAAGACCCCAGAACUUCUCUCAGGUUUUACGGACGCCUCAGUGAGGCUCUGCUGCCUUCCAGAGCGCGCCGGACUGCGAGUGGGGAUAAGGCAGAGAAAAAGAGGCCCUGCAUCGGUGCUGUGUGUUUUACUGUAAUUACUGGCUUUAUUGAAGAUAGAAUUCUGUGUUUUUCUCCAGUUUUGCUCCACACUGUAUGCAGAGGGACAAGCUGCGUAGGAGGAGAGCGGAGUACCAAAAGAAGGUGCGGUGUGUUUUCCUGGAAUCCCUGACUGUAUUGAAGAUGGAACUUCGGGUUUUUUUUUCUUCCACUGGUUUUGCUGUAUCCCUGAGGGAGAGGAGGAAGCUGGUGACUGCAGGAAUGCAUUGGAUGGCUGUUUUUUGUGGGCUGCCUCAAGGAUGGAUUUGGAUGCCGCCUGGCCCUCCAAAAGCUAAGCUGAGAAAACUAAGUAUUUCAGACAAAAUCUCCAAAAUUAAGCACUUUGAUCCACCUACAGAAUGCGUGAAUAGAGAGGGUCCUCUGGUGACUGUCGAUAGUCCUCCUCACCGUGUCCGCUGAUUGAACUCAGUCUUCACACACACUCAACAGAGCUUUUGGAAUCCAACCCAGCCACUCUAAGUCUUUCCUAGCCUGAUGAGCCUGGAUGCCCUUGAGUUCUAGGGAAGAGCCAGAUGCCUAAACCAGCAGGCUUCUGUCUACCGGACCCUGGUACACUCUUGGUGUGCACCGAUGAGCUUGCAGCUCAACAGGAAUUGCCGCUGCAUCCAGCUCCGGUCCAGUAUUCCCCAUUCUACCUGCAUGAAUUCCCCCCAGCAGCACAAGCCACAGCUGCCUGUGUUAAACCGAGCUCUGAAAGGCAGCAGGACAUCAAACACAACCCUGUCUGUCAGCUCGAUGGAUGAGACACCGCUGCCUUAAGCACCUCGCUCCCAGGGCCGGGAAAUGCAGCACUGCUUUAAUCCACUUCCAAAACCCCCUCUGCUCUCAGCGCCACUGUACAGUUACACCCAGGAGCUGCCUCCACGGCCCCCAUCCGUGGGAGCGGGACCCAACACCUUCUCACCCCCAGCCCGGAGCACCGAAACCCGCUGGGGCACACGUGGGCAUCUGCGGGAGCAACACUACCUCAGGGAAUGAGAAGAGAUCUGUACCCCUUUCUAGGCCAAAACUAAAGCUGGGAGGAACAAAAGCACUAAACCGAAGCUCCUACCCAGGCCCAGACCACAACAAGCAGGGAGAGCGGCUUUCUCUGAAGGGCUCCGAGUUGCUUUCCAGGUUUUCAUGGCAUUGGGCUGACCCUUCCCUCUCCGAACAUCUUCUAGGAGCACAUAUAAACACACAGCCAUCUGCUCAGAGAAAAGGCAUGACGCUGGUGCCCACAACCACCUCCCUGGGGUGACCCCAGCUCUGAUCUCCUCCACUGCUGGCACGCUCCCUGCACUGGACUGUGCUUCCAAGCAAGGAUUUGCCACUAGAAACCACAGUGGCUCUGGCCACAAGAAGUUCCCCCCUGCAGCUCUGGCCAUUAAGAGAUGCUGCAAACACUGGCAGUGUCAGAAAACUAAUGGAAACCAGCUGACAACAGUGUCUGAGCUGAUUCACCUGCUCAUUUUACCCAGGAAAGCAUGUCAUGGCAGUAGGAGAUACUUACUAACACCUGCCCACUCAUAACAGCACUGGCCCUACCAAAAGCCAACUUUUUUAAGCUUGCUGUGCCAAAAAUCCACCAAGGAGGCACUCUGUGAGGACACUGGCAUUGUCCUUCUCUAACAACGACCACAUCUAUGGCCAACCAGAGCCACGCCGACACCCCGAGCCAUGCCAGACACACAGCUACCGGUAACACCAAGCUGCCCAAGCCCAAUUUUCACCUCCUAGAGCCAGCGAUGGAUGGCGAGAGCUUGGCUGUCCCCUCCGCAGGGGUCACGGCAGCACAAACUGAGGGGCUGUGAGCAUCCACCUGGUCCCCGAGCGCCCUGAGAUGCAUGGCCGAGGCUUACCUUGUCUCUUCAGCGAGGAGGCGACGGCCGGCUUCUUCAGGCUGCUUCUCCUGGCAUUGCCGUGAGCCGGGUCUUGCACCAGGAGGGGGCUGGCCACCUGUACCCCUGAGAAAUUGGUUCAAAGAGUGUCAGUGCACAAGUCCUGGGAUUCCUGGGACACCCCAUGCGGGUUGGGAUGGAGAAAUCCCCUCUCUCCUCAGAGUGGGCUGUCACCAUGGCUCUUAACAUCACUAACGAUUGUUAAAAGACCCACCGGACUCAGGGCAGGAGUGUGCCCAACAGCCAGAGCCCCUCCGAAAGCUCCCACCGGCACUGGACGCGAGUCCAGCAGGUCAUGGUGGGGCUGCCCCUCCUGCUGGACAAAGGCUUUUGGCUUCGACCCGUCUUUGCCCCCCACACUUCUGUGGGACCGCCCCACCCACCCCCUGAGAGCCCCCCAGGAUCUUCUGGGACCCCUCAUGUUCCCCCCAGGGCUCCCUGGAGACUUCUGGGACCCCUCUAGGACCCCCUGGAGCCCUCUGGGUCGCUCUGACACCUGCUGUAGGAUCCCCUAGAGCCCCCCAGAGCCCUCUGGGACCCACUGGAGCCCACCCUGGUAUCCCCUGCAUCCCCCUGGGGCCCUUCUGUGACCUCCCCCCAACCCCAUGAGAGCCCCUCAGAGUCCUCCAGGACCCCCUGGGACCCUUUGUCUUCCCCUAGGACUCUCUGGGACCCUCAUGGGACCCCCCUGAAUUCCUCCAGGACUCCCUCCAGCACCCCACAGAUCGCCCCCAGGAUGCCCCAGAGACCUCUGUGACCACCUGGAGUGCCUCCUGUUACCCCCCACGUCCCAUUGGGACACCCCACACCUCCUGAGAGCGCCCCCAGUGCCUUCCAGGAUCUCCUGGAGCCCCCUGGGAUCCUCAUACACAACCCCUCUGGAGCCCUCCAGGACCCCAUGAACUUCUCAUAUUCCCCCAGGACUCUCUGGAGCCUUCUGGGACCCUCCACAGUCCCCCUCAGACCCUCCCACACACCCCCCAGAACACCCCAGAGUCCCCUGGGUCACCCCAGGACACUCCAGAACCCUCUGGAGCCCCCUGGUCCCCCCCACAUCCCACUGCAACCCCCGUUACACCUGUUUCCCCCUCCCAGGGGACACCAGCUCCUGCCAAAUGCUCUGGGACUGCUGGAGCCUGACAGAGCAUCUCGGCAAAGGAGAGAUGAGUGAGUGAGAGAGGAACCGAGUGGGGACCCCCUGGAUGCGGAGAGGAAGAUAAAAGAGCUGCGGAGCAGAGAACGAUGGGAGCUCUGAUGGGAUGAGAGAGGGGAAGGGAGAUGAAGUGCCACAAGGUGCCUCAGAGAUGGAGGAAGGUAUUGUCUCUAAAGCAUUAAAAAGAGGCAACUGAAUGUAACAAGCUUUUUUCUUUCCUCCCUGAUAUUUAGACGGCGUGCUCUGAAGUACUUUAUUUCUGUUUGGCUUUCAGCGGCGCGUUACCCCGGCAGCCCAGUAGCAUCUCUCUCGGGCAGUGCCACUGGCCAGAUGUCCCUCCUCCUUGCGUAGCACACAAAAAAACCUUGCAGACCAAUUGUAACUAUGUAUUUUAGAGAGAGAGUGUGUCAUGGUAUCAAUUCGCAGCUGUGCAAGUGAAAUUAGUGCCAGAGGAAAGUCAAAUACUUCUAUAGUGUAAGUAUUUUUAUUUGGUGUACAUAAACCUAACACCUUUUUACCGAAAGGGAAGGGACGAAGCAUUUCCCAACGCCAGUGAGGAGGUUACUGUUACGCUAAGAACGUGUUCAAAAUGGCAUUGGUUAGCUUUAAUCCUGACUUCAAGAGUUGAGCUGGCGCUGGCUUUUGCAGGCUGUGCUGUGUUUGGAGCUGAGCUGUUUCCCCAGAAUCCUCCUGUAUCUCAGCUCCUGUCCUGUCCCUCUGAUGGAAUUCCUCUACUCUCUUCCAGGCUAUUUUUUAAGAUACUGAGCUAUAACUGGGGAUUUUUGUUUUCCAGGUGCCUCAGUGUAGGCGUCUCAUGCUGCUCGAGAGAUGCCCCAGGCCAGGUUUGCAGCUGGUGGCGGAGGCCCCCUGAGGGGGAAGGGGCCAGCCCUGGGUCUGUGUGUUUUGGGACUUUUUUGGGGGGGAAUAGAAGGGUGUCUGUCUGUGUCUUGGGGCGUGAUGGUGUCAUUUGGGACACUGCGACGUCACCAGGGCAGCGAUGAUGCAGCGGAGGAGCAGGUGAGUGGGGGAUGGGGGGGGGGUUACAUGAGCACCUCCCAAAAGAGGUGGUUCACAGCCCCAAAACAUCUGAAAAUUCUUGGGAUGCAUUAAAAAAUGUGAGAACCUGUAACUAUGGGUGUGAGGCACUGAA